RNAcentral lists this ribosomal RNA (2932 nucleotides) under Enterobacter hormaechei. Its description in RNAcentral is "23S ribosomal RNA". It matches the Rfam family "Bacterial large subunit ribosomal RNA". The record is from RNAcentral. Lineage: Bacteria; Pseudomonadati; Pseudomonadota; Gammaproteobacteria; Enterobacterales; Enterobacteriaceae.
GGGUUGUGAGGUUAAGCGACUAAGCGUACACGGUGGAUGCCCUGGCAGUCAGAGGCGAUGAAGGACGUGCUAAUCUGCGAAAAGCGCCGGCGAGGUGAUAUGAACCUUUGACCCGGCGAUGUCCGAAUGGGGAAACCCAGUGCAAUCCGUUGCACUAUCGUUAACUGAAUACAUAGGUUAACGAGGCGAACCGGGGGAACUGAAACAUCUAAGUACCCCGAGGAAAAGAAAUCAACCGAGAUUCCCCCAGUAGCGGCGAGCGAACGGGGAGCAGCCCGGAGUCUGAAUCAGCUUGUGUGUUAGUGGAACGGUCUGGAAAGUCCGACGGUACAGGGUGAUAGUCCCGUACACGAAAGCACACAUGCUGUGAACUCGAAGAGUAGGGCGGGACACGUGGUAUCCUGUCUGAAUAUGGGGGGACCAUCCUCCAAGGCUAAAUACUCCUGACUGACCGAUAGUGAACCAGUACCGUGAGGGAAAGGCGAAAAGAACCCCGGCGAGGGGAGUGAAAAAGAACCUGAAACCGUGUACGUACAAGCAGUGGGAGCCUCUUUAUGGGGUGACUGCGUACCUUUUGUAUAAUGGGUCAGCGACUUAUAUUCUGUAGCAAGGUUAACCGUAUAGGGGAGCCGAAGGGAAACCGAGUCUUAACUGGGCGUUAAGUUGCAGGGUAUAGACCCGAAACCCGGUGAUCUAGCCAUGGGCAGGUUGAAGGUUGGGUAACACUAACUGGAGGACCGAACCGACUAAUGUUGAAAAAUUAGCGGAUGACCUGUGGCUGGGGGUGAAAGGCCAAUCAAACCGGGAGAUAGCUGGUUCUCCCCGAAAGCUAUUUAGGUAGCGCCUCGUGAACUCAUCUUCGGGGGUAGAGCACUGUUUCGGCUAGGGGGCCAUCCCGGCUUACCAACCCGAUGCAAACUACGAAUACCGAAGAAUGUUAUCACGGGAGACACACGGCGGGUGCUAACGUCCGUCGUGAAGAGGGAAACAACCCAGACCGCCAGCUAAGGUCCCAAAGUCAUGGUUAAGUGGGAAACGAUGUGGGAAGGCACAGACAGCCAGGAUGUUGGCUUAGAAGCAGCCAUCAUUUAAAGAAAGCGUAAUAGCUCACUGGUCGAGUCGGCCUGCGCGGAAGAUGUAACGGGGCUAAACCAUGCACCGAAGCUGCGGCAGCGACGCUUAUGCGUUGUUGGGUAGGGGAGCGUUCUGUAAGCCGUUGAAGGUGUCCUGUGAGGGGUGCUGGAGGUAUCAGAAGUGCGAAUGCUGACAUAAGUAACGAUAAAGCGGGUGAAAAGCCCGCUCGCCGGAAGACCAAGGGUUCCUGUCCAACGUUAAUCGGGGCAGGGUGAGUCGACCCCUAAGGCGAGGCCGAAAGGCGUAGUCGAUGGGAAACAGGUUAAUAUUCCUGUACUUGGUGUUACUGCGAAGGGGGGACGGAGAAGGCUAUGUCAGCCGGGCGACGGUUGUCCCGGUUUAAGCAUGUAGGCGGAGGUUCCAGGUAAAUCCGGUACCUUAUUAACGCUGAGGUGUGAUGACGAGGCACUACGGUGCUGAAGUGAUAAAUGCCCUGCUUCCAGGAAAAGCCUCUAAGCAUCAGGUAACACGAAAUCGUACCCCAAACCGACACAGGUGGUCAGGUAGAGAAUACCAAGGCGCUUGAGAGAACUCGGGUGAAGGAACUAGGCAAAAUGGUGCCGUAACUUCGGGAGAAGGCACGCUGAUGUGUAGGUGAAGUCCCUGCGGACGGAGCUGAAAUCAGUCGAAGAUACCAGCUGGCUGCAACUGUUUAUUAAAAACACAGCACUGUGCAAACACGAAAGUGGACGUAUACGGUGUGACGCCUGCCCGGUGCCGGAAGGUUAAUUGAUGGGGUUAGCGGCAACGCGAAGCUCUUGAUCGAAGCCCCGGUAAACGGCGGCCGUAACUAUAACGGUCCUAAGGUAGCGAAAUUCCUUGUCGGGUAAGUUCCGACCUGCACGAAUGGCGUAAUGAUGGCCAGGCUGUCUCCACCCGAGACUCAGUGAAAUUGAACUCGCUGUGAAGAUGCAGUGUACCCGCGGCAAGACGGAAAGACCCCGUGAACCUUUACUAUAGCUUGACACUGAACACUGGUCCUUGAUGUGUAGGAUAGGUGGGAGGCUUUGAAGCGUGGACGCCAGUCUGCGUGGAGCCAACCUUGAAAUACCACCCUUUAAUGGCUGGUGUUCUAACGUAGACCCGUAAUCCGGGUUGCGGACAGUGUCUGGUGGGUAGUUUGACUGGGGCGGUCUCCUCCCAAAGAGUAACGGAGGAGCACGAAGGUUGGCUAAUCCUGGUCGGACAUCAGGAGGUUAGUGCAAUGGCAUAAGCCAGCUUGACUGCGAGCGUGACGGCGCGAGCAGGUGCGAAAGCAGGUCAUAGUGAUCCGGUGGUUCUGAAUGGAAGGGCCAUCGCUCAACGGAUAAAAGGUACUCCGGGGAUAACAGGCUGAUACCGCCCAAGAGUUCAUAUCGACGGCGGUGUUUGGCACCUCGAUGUCGGCUCAUCACAUCCUGGGGCUGAAGUAGGUCCCAAGGGUAUGGCUGUUCGCCAUUUAAAGUGGUACGCGAGCUGGGUUUAGAACGUCGUGAGACAGUUCGGUCCCUAUCUGCCGUGGGCGCUGGAGAAUUGAGGGGGGCUGCUCCUAGUACGAGAGGACCGGAGUGGACGCAUCACUGGUGUUCGGGUUGUCAUGCCAAUGGCACUGCCCGGUAGCUAAAUGCGGAAGAGAUAAGUGCUGAAAGCAUCUAAGCACGAAACUUGCCCCGAGAUGAGUUCUCCCUGAGACCUUGAGUCUCCUGAAGGAACGUUGAAGACGACGACGUUGAUAGGUCGGGUGUGUAAGCGCAGCGAUGCGUUGAGCUAACCGAUACUAAUGAACCGUGAGGCUUAACCUUACAACGCCGAAGCUGUU